GAUGAACGCUGGCGGCGUGCCUAAUACAUGCAAGUCGAGCGAACAGACGAGGAGCUUGCUCCUCUGACGUUAGCGGCGGACGGGUGAGUAACACGUGGAUAACCUACCUAUAAGACUGGGAUAACUUCGGGAAACCGGAGCUAAUACCGGAUAAUAUAUUGAACCGCAUGGUUCAAUAGUGAAAGACGGUUUUGCUGUCACUUAUAGAUGGAUCCGCGCCGCAUUAGCUCGUUGGUAAGGUAACGGCUUACCAAGGCGACGAUGCGUAGCCGCCCGGAGAGGGUGAUAGGCCACCCUGGGACUGAGCCGCGGCGCAGAGGAGCACGGGAGGCAGCAGCAGGGAAUCUUACGGAAUGGAGGCAAGUCUGACGGAGCAACGCCGAGUGAGUGAGGAAGGUUUUAGGACCGUAAAACUCUGUUGUCAGGGAAGAACAAGUACCGGAGUAACAGCCGGUACCUUGACGGUACCUGACGAGAGAGCCACGGCUCACUACGUG
RNAcentral lists this ribosomal RNA (497 nucleotides) under uncultured bacterium. RNAcentral describes it as "partial 16S ribosomal RNA". It matches the Rfam family "Bacterial small subunit ribosomal RNA", at positions 28 to 507 of the family's 1533-position model. The record is from RNAcentral.